RNAcentral lists this ribosomal RNA (253 nucleotides) under uncultured bacterium. Its description in RNAcentral is "partial 16S ribosomal RNA". It matches the Rfam family "Bacterial small subunit ribosomal RNA", at positions 524 to 776 of the family's 1533-position model. The record is from RNAcentral.
UACAGAGGGUGCAAGCGUUAAUCGGAAUUACUGGGCGUAAAGCGUGCGUAGACGGUUAUUUAAGUCAGGGGUGAAAGCCCAGGGCUCAACCUUGGAAUUGCAUUUGAGACUGAAUAGCUAGGGUGCGGAAGAGGGAAGCGGAAUUUCCGGUGUAGCGGUGAAAUGCGUAGAUAUCGGAAGGAACACCAGUGGCGAAAGCGGCUUCCUGGUCCAGCACCGACGUUCAGGCACGAAAGCGUGGGGAGCAAACAGG